ACUAUUAAAAUUUGUAUAAAAGCUUGCAUACAUAUUUAUUUUGUUGAAAAUAUAAUUGGAUAUGUCACAUCCCGGAUCGGGUCUACUGUAGCACGAUAUUGUCCACUUUGGGCCCCCUGCACUCAUGGUUUUGUUUCUGGGAACUCACGAGCAACUUCCCAGUGGGUCACCCAUCCUGGGAUUGCUCUAGCCCCAACUCGCUUAACUUUGGAGUUCUCAUGACUCCGAAGCUAGUGAGCUCCCAAAAGGCCUCGUGUUAGAUGGAGGUUGGCAUGUACAUAUAAGGCACAUCACCCCCUCUCCGUUAAUCGAUGUGGGAUGUUACAUAAUACAUGACUAAUUUAUCCCCUAUUUUGUAUGUCAUAUUGGGUUUUAAUGGCUUUUGGGCCUCAACAUUAGUCCUCUUGAUUUUUGGGGCAAUAAAGUGACAAUGAGAUGGGCCAAAUAAUCAAUUAAACAUGCCCAAAAACUGGUGUGCGAAGUGGCAUAGUACUCCGUCUUUGCAACAACAUGUCUCCUUUCGUCAUGGUAAGGCAACGCAUGAGUUUAGCCUAGCAUGGGAUUGUUUUUUUGUUUGACAUGAUUAAUUUUCUUAGCUUGUUUUUCUUGAAAGAAUUGCACUAACUUUGUUUUGUUUUGGGCAUAGAUAAUCUUGAUAGUUCAUAAUUGUUUGGAGCUAGCUUAUGAGAUAGAUUUAGGCAUGGCGUGUUAUUGAUAUGCUUAAGUGUUUUGACUGCAAUGAUUGGGCAUGGUAUGAGUGAUCCAAAACUUCUAGUUGAUAGAACUAUGAAUUCCUAGUUUAAAGGAAUAAGGGAACGAGAGGAAUUUUAAGACAAUUAGAGAAACAAAAGGAAGAAGCAAAGGAAUUGCUUUGAGUUUUGCUUUCA
This 887-nucleotide long non-coding RNA is filed under the name Prunus dulcis (almond). RNAcentral describes it as "sRNA ncRNA". Lineage: Eukaryota; Viridiplantae; Streptophyta; Magnoliopsida; Rosales; Rosaceae. The record is from RNAcentral.